RNAcentral lists this ribosomal RNA (506 nucleotides) under uncultured bacterium. RNAcentral's name for it is "partial 16S ribosomal RNA". It matches the Rfam family "Bacterial small subunit ribosomal RNA", at positions 29 to 523 of the family's 1533-position model. The record is from RNAcentral.
AGUGAACGCUGGCGGUAGGCCUAACACAUGCAAGUCGAACGGCAGCACAGAGGAGCUUGCUCCUUGGGUGGCGAGUGGCGGACGGGUGAGGAAUACAUCGGAAUCUACUUUUUCGUGGGGGAUAACGUAGGGAAACUUACGCUAAUACCGCAUACGACCUACGGGUGAAAGCAGGGGAUCUUCGGACCUUGCGCGAUUGAAUGAGCCGAUGUCGGAUUAGCUAGUUGGCGGGGUAAAGGCCCACCAAGGCGACGAUCCGUAGCUGGUCUGAGAGGAUGAUGAGCCACACUGGAAAUGAGACACGGUCCAGACUCAUACGGGAGGCAGCAGUGGGGAAUAUUGGACAAUGGGCGCAAGCCUGAUCCAGCCAUACCGCGUGGGUGAAGAAGGCCUUCGGGUUGUAAAGCCCUUUUGUUGGGAAAGAAAUCCAGCCGGCUAAUACCUGGUUGGGAUGACGGUACCCAAAGAAUAAGCACCGGCUAACUUCGUGCCAGCCGCCGCAGUAA